RNAcentral lists this unclassified non-coding RNA (277 nucleotides) under uncultured Ochroconis. RNAcentral's name for it is "sequence contains ITS1". The record is from RNAcentral. Lineage: Eukaryota; Fungi; Ascomycota.
CUGAGUGGCUGUAUUCGCGAUUCUCUUCGGAGAGGCGAAGCUACCCGACCUGAUGUCAUUCUAUCCGAGGGCGCGUCCGCAUGAGACAGCGGUUCGACGUUGGAGGUACCCGGACGAGGCGCUUGUCUCGAAGGGGGAAGCUCCGGGUCGGGCCGUGACGCGCCUCUCGGCACAACUUUCCGCGGAAGUGGUAGGCGUUGACCUGCCCGCCGCGGGCCGUAUUUUCUACAAGUCUUGAAGAAACCUGAAGUCUGAAGAUCAAAACAAAUGAAAAGCA